Molecule: long non-coding RNA, 1006 nt
Filed under: Rattus norvegicus (Norway rat)
Lineage: Eukaryota; Metazoa; Chordata; Mammalia; Rodentia; Muridae
Description: long non-coding RNA NONRATT010208
Source: RNAcentral
GGAGCAGCAAAGACAGUUCAAUUCCACAGAAAGUAGCAUGGAUUUUAUGUUAGUGUCAGAUCCUCAACGUGAUCUGUCAUCCCCCAAAUAAAAUAGCUUCUACAACAAGUAAAGAGGGAAAGCUCUGAUGUGUUUGAGUGAGCUGAUCUGUCUUGCUAAAAGGCUGUUUGGUUUACACCCUCUUGGGUAGGGCUGACUUGGCUCCACUUAUUUCAGAUGAUUAAUGCAGGGUAAAUUCAGAUUUUUAAAAACCUCUUGAAUAUAUUCCUCACUAUAUUAUUUGAAUUUCUCCAGUCAGUUGUAGGAGAGAAUGUGACUUGAAGACUAUUAGCUGAAAGCCCCUCAUUCAGUUCUGUUAUACAGAGGGCAUUCACUGGAAGAAGGCUGGUGGGAGUUGGAGUCCUGAGUGCACGCACCACUGAGUCCUUCCAGUUUGUGCACAAAAAUUCUGGACCUUGAGUUCCUAGCUAUCUGCAGUUGCCAAUUUAUAGAAAGGGUGAAAUGAGCAUUUCCAGCUAAAGAAUAGAUUAUUAACAUUUACCACAGAAGUGCUUCAGCAUUCUAAAAGGAUUAGAUUACACAUUAAGCUAUUUUACAUGCCAAUCUAUUAAUGCCUUACAUUAACCCACUAGCAGGUUGCUGGGUCCUCAGUAGAGCCCUGUGCAGCCCUGAUUCUGUUUUUUGUAUCUGGUGAUGCUGAGUGAUAACUGUGUCUGCCUAUCUUGUACUACUGACUAUCCAUUCAGACAGAUCUUACAUUAAGUAACCAUGUGGAUGAACAACUGAUUAAUCAAUGAUAUAUGUACGUAUAUAUUUGAAGAGCAAUAGUGUCUGUUAUAAAGACUUUGAAAGUCUUAUUUGUAAAAUUUAUAUGGUAUAAUUUUAUGUAUAUUCAUAAAUCUUGCACUGUAUUCUGUUAAAAUAUUGGUGCAUGAGUUUAUUUUCAAGGUAUAAAAUAAUUUAAAAUCUUUUGUUAUGGGUCAAAUAAAUCUCACUAUGUAAACAU